Salmo salar (Atlantic salmon) is the source of this 3111-nucleotide long non-coding RNA. RefSeq lists it as uncharacterized. Lineage: Eukaryota; Metazoa; Chordata; Actinopteri; Salmoniformes; Salmonidae. The record is from RefSeq and is a predicted model, not a curated record.
AAUACCAACGUCACCCCUUCAUAAAAUCCUCUUCCGCGCUUAACUCAACAAUGUAUGGUGUACAGGUCAUAUUGUGCGGGCCACAAAAAGAUGAUGAAGUACAACCUAACGUUACUUGAUCCUGAUGAUGAAUGACUCAGCGAAAAUGGUUUACGAUCAGAUUAUGAAGAUCAAUCUGCUCGAUCCUGGGUGACAAUGGUGUACGAUCAGGGUAAAACCACCUUUAAGCUGACCGUGUUAAGGAAACCAGGACAGCCCAUGCUCCUGUUGUGCCUCGAGUUGUUGUCGGAUGGCUGGAACCUCUAGUCAGACUCAUCACAACAGUUGCCUGUGUGGCGGAAUGGAAAGUUGGCUGAUCCUGCAGUUUUUUGGGCUACAUCGCAAAAUGGACCACAAGUCAAGGUUCCUAGAGGCUGUCAGACCAGUUGCAUUUGCAAUAAAUGUCCUUGACGCAUCAAUAUAAACUGAGCAGGGUUUGGUCAUGAAAGUGUGCAAGAGCAAUCACCACUGACCUGCAAUGUUCUUCACUAUUUGUUUGAUGGUGCUGUCAAAAUAUUUUAACUGUACAUGUGGUGUAAACUAUUGAUUAGUCAAUAAAAACACUCCAUGCAUUGGUUUUUCACUUGCCAUUGUCCAUAACAAUAAUGGGGUACAUUAAAUUGUGCUGUGUAUAUACAUGUGAUGUCUUAGUCCCAGAGAAUGUCAAUGUUCUCUACCAACAGCCAUUAAAGAUUUUGAAGUUAAAUGUGAGGCCUGUUGUCUUGGCAUUCGUCUGCAGCCAUAACCUCGUCUCAACAUAAUAUAUGGUUGCAAAGAUCUGUACGUAAUUCCCAAAACUUAAGUUUUAUGGCUUGCAAACUCGCUAGACGUCACUCCUUGACUGUUUGGUAUGCUCCCUCGGCCUGAGCAACUCUGAAGACAUGUCUUGGCAAAGGGUGGUCACACCAGGUACUGAUUGGUGAUACAGAACCACACGUACUGUGAUCCUCGACCCCCAAAACCUUUCCCGGGAGUUGUGUCAAAGUCCUGGAUUUCGCGGGUAAUUGUCCUUGAGCUUUUGACCGGGACUGUACCGUGUUAGGAAAGUUAUUCUACAACUUCAUUACGGUAUUAGCAAGUAUAGUACUUAUAAAAGCAGGCUUUAACGUAGAGCUGUUUAGAUCCUGAUUUUUAGACCCUGAUAGUUUGUCUCCGAGCUAGCCAGUAUCACCAAAAGAAUGUUAGCUAGCUAUCCUCAUCACGUAGCAACUUCUUUCUUUGUUCUCACUCAAUGAUGGCGUCUCCCAUCAACCAAGGUUCCAUGGCCUGAACAAGGCCGUCAGCCCACUGUUCCUAGGCCGUCAAUGUAAAUAAGAAUUUGUUCUUGACUUGCCUAGUUAAAGGGGAAAAAAAAGGUAUGUUAAACAAUUCUCUUUAAUGUUUGUCUCAAGUAAAACACUUCAACAGGUGAAAUAAUUAGAUUAGCUAGCUACGUGUCAUUCGGCUUUCAAAGGGGAAAUCAGCCGUUUAUACAUCUUUGGAUUUGAAAAUUGGUAUGUACCCAUUUCACUCUUGAAAAUAUAACUUAAAUAAAUGCCUUAUGAGCUUACUUUGUCGAACCCAAAAUAAAAGCUAGUUUUAUUCCAAUGUUUUUAACAAAGUAAAUGUAACCACUAGGCUCAAGCUAUAUCAAGGAAGGUCAGUCCUUGCAUCUAUAGCUCUGGCUAUGAAUUUGAGUGGUGACAUUUCUCCAGCCCAGUCCCAUCGGUUUUUAACCAGAACAAGAUGGAAGGUGCUUUACUUCAACUGCUGAUUGCCUCUUUUCAUUUGCUUCAUAUUGUAACCUGCAGUAGGCUCUAUGCGAGUGCGGUAUAAUGAAAAGACUGGCUCCUACAAUGACCAGGGGCUUUUGGUCUUGCUGGCAAGGGCUAAUUACCUUUCAGUUUGACCAAAAGGCCUGAAGUCUUGUUCAUAGACAAGGAAAAACUUACAUACACCCAUGUUACAAAUUUCAUAUUGUUUUUGUAGGAGGAAACAUAAUGGCUCACGGGCAUCCUUGUCUUAUCAUGAAAGGAGGGCCUCGUCCCUGGUGACGGAGGCUGAUGCAGUUACAGGACUACCUGUGUCUGUAGUUAAGAACUGGAUUGGUAACUAUGGGCGUUCACUUAAUACCUUCUGCAAGACCCGAUGUCACAAAGCUGCUGGUUAUAAGCGCAGUGUGUCUGCCUAUAAUUUAUUUUGCGCAGAGGUGCUGAAGGGGAAAGGCACCUGCAAGUUCCUGGACAUUUCUGGGGGGGAAUGGCCCUAGCCCUCACCCUCCGAUCCAACAGGUCCCAGGCGUGCUCAAUGGGAUUGAGAUCCGGGCUCUUCGCUGGCCAGUCGACCUCCAGCCCCCCCAAGAAGUGGCGAGGGUCAGCCGGGAACCAGUGGACCUCCAGUGCCCCUCAGACGUGGUGAGGAACGGUUUGGCCUCAGCGGACCUCUGGGGCCCCACAGACCCCAUGUUGCAUCCUCAACUGAUCAGCCGACCUUUGUGGUUUCUUCUGGAUAUCCUGCCUUGGAGACUUUUCUGGGUCUGCCUGUCUUGCCUGGACCCCCCCGGGUCCUCAGGUCCUGCAGUUGCUGGGUCAGUGGGACCCAUAACUGACACUCUUUGCCCACGCCAUGCUGGUGUCAGAUAUAACUCCAGACACCCUGGUGACAUUGGACAUCUCCCAACUUUAUGAACAUUUCAAAUAGAACAAAUCUUCCUAUUUGUAUUGUGUUAUUUUGGUGGUUAAUAUAGGGCAGACAGACAUGUUCUCUACCUUCUCCCCUUAUCACUUGCCUCCUUUUUUGCAGUAAUGCUGCAUUCACUUGGUUGCAUGUCGGUAUACAUCCUAUUCAGAAUAUUGUUAAUAUUUUUAAACAUUGUCAUUACUUGAAGGGCUGUGAAAACAAUGAAAAUGUCACAAUAUAUUUAGGGAUGCAAAACCCAGAUACGAAUCAUGUGUUGAUCUAUUGCCAUGGACGUAGCAUCUUCCUUUCCCAAUCCAUUGGCAAAUUACUUUAAACUGUUUCUCAUUUGAUGAUUUAGGACAGGGUUCCCCAACUGACUGGUUUUAUUUGGCCCCUCAAGUUUUCUGAGCAUCA